This 74-nucleotide transfer RNA is filed under the name Candidatus Doolittlea endobia. It matches the Rfam family "tRNA". Rfam says of the family: Transfer RNA (tRNA) molecules are approximately 80 nucleotides in length. Their secondary structure includes four short double-helical elements and three loops (D, anti-codon, and T loops). The record is from Rfam by way of RNAcentral. Lineage: Bacteria; Pseudomonadati; Pseudomonadota; Gammaproteobacteria; Enterobacterales; Enterobacteriaceae.
GCGCCCUUAGCUCAGUUGGAUAGAGCAAUGGCCUUCUAAGCCAUAGGUCGUAGGUUCGAAUCCUACAGGGCGCG